GCUGGCGGCGUGCCUAACACAUGCAAGUCGAACGAGAAAGUGGAGCAAUCCAUGAGUACAGUGGCGACCGGGUGAGUAACACGUGACUACCUACCCUUGAGUGGGGGAUAACCUCGGGAAACCGAGGCUAAUACCGCAUAAUAUCGAAAGAUCAAAGGAGAAAUCCGCUUUUGGAGGGGGUCGCGGCUGAUUAGCUAGUUGGUAGGGUAAUGGCCUACCAAGGCGAAGAUCGGUAUCCGGCCUGAGAGGGCGCACGGACACACUGGAACUGAAACACGGUCCAGACUCCUACGGGAGGCAGCAGUGGGGAAUUUUGCGCAAUGGGGGAAACCCUGACGCAGCAACGCCGCGUGGAGGAUGAAGCCCCUUGGGGUGUAAACUCCUUUCGACCGGGAAAAUAAUGAUGGUACCGGUGGAAGAAGCACCGGCUAACUCUGUGCCAGCAGCCGCGGUAAUACAGAGGGUGCGAGCGUUGUUCGGAAUUAUUGGGCGUAAAGGGCGCGUAGGCGGUGUUGUAAGUCACCUGUGAAACCUCUGGGCUUAACUC
This 547-nucleotide ribosomal RNA is filed under the name uncultured soil bacterium. RNAcentral describes it as "bacterial SSU rRNA". It matches the Rfam family "Bacterial small subunit ribosomal RNA", at positions 35 to 615 of the family's 1533-position model. The record is from RNAcentral.